RNAcentral lists this ribosomal RNA (63 nucleotides) under Pantoea ananatis. RNAcentral describes it as "partial 23S ribosomal RNA". The record is from RNAcentral. Lineage: Bacteria; Pseudomonadati; Pseudomonadota; Gammaproteobacteria; Enterobacterales; Erwiniaceae. RNAcentral also lists the same sequence under 2 other names.
GGGUGUGUAAGCGCAGCGAUGCGUUGAGCUUACCGGUACUAAUGACCCGUGAGGCUUAACCUU